Long non-coding RNA from Gopherus flavomarginatus (Mexican gopher tortoise), 262 nucleotides. RefSeq lists it as uncharacterized. The record is from RefSeq and is a predicted model, not a curated record. The transcript has 4 exons. NCBI's taxonomy places the organism in Eukaryota, Metazoa, Chordata, Testudines, Testudinidae.
GGGUGGGGUCACUCACCAGGGGGCGGGGUCACUCACCAGGGGGUUCUCCGAGAGCUGCCAGAGAUCGGGGUGCAGGCAGGGGGCGGGGUCACUCACGGGGGGCGGGGUCACUCACCAGGGGGUUCUCCGAGAGCUGCCAGAGGUCGGGGUGCAGGCAGGGGGCGGGGCAGGGGGCGGGGUCACUCACGGGGGGUGGGGUCACUCACCAGGGGGUUCUCGGAGAGCUGCCAGAGGUCGGGGUGCAGACAUGGGGCGGGGAAGG